CAGCCACAUCGCGUUGAAACACAGGUUCUCGUAUGAUCACCGAAGUUAAGAAACGUCACACUUGGUCAGGUACUUAUUUCGGUGACCUCUUGGAAAUACCAGAUGCUGUAA
Non-coding RNA from Acanthosepion pharaonis, 111 nucleotides. The record is from the annotation of a GenBank genome assembly. NCBI's taxonomy places the organism in Eukaryota, Metazoa, Mollusca, Cephalopoda, Sepiida, Sepiidae.